RNAcentral lists this ribosomal RNA (327 nucleotides) under Lepidurus couesii. RNAcentral describes it as "partial 12S ribosomal RNA". The record is from RNAcentral. Lineage: Eukaryota; Metazoa; Arthropoda; Branchiopoda; Notostraca; Triopsidae.
GGGUAGUAGUGUAAUUUUUAAACCUAAAGAAUUNGGCGGUACUUCAUUCUUACUAGAGGAACUGCUCUUGUAUCGAUAUUCCACGAUUAAGUUUACAUAUUUUUGUUUUCAGUUUGUAUACCGCCGUUGUCAGAUUAUUUUUAAAGAAUAUUAUCUAGCUAGUAUGUUACUGUGACAUCAGGUCAAGGUGCAGCCGAUAAAUAUGGAAGUAGUGGGUUACAAUAAAGUUAAAUUAUUACGGCCUAAUGAUUGUAUAAUUGUUAUUAAGGUGGAUUUAGUAGUAAAUUGAAAAUAAAAUGUUCGUAUGAAAUGAGCUCUGAAGUGUGU